Molecule: unclassified non-coding RNA, 1109 nt
Filed under: Hevea brasiliensis (rubber tree)
Lineage: Eukaryota; Viridiplantae; Streptophyta; Magnoliopsida; Malpighiales; Euphorbiaceae
Source: RNAcentral
UUCAGGCUAAUGGGUCCUGUCAACAAGAUUCGGAUUCAACGGAAAAAUCCGAAUCUUCUGGUACAGACAGCAAGAAAUCUCCGGGUUCAGAACCGGGUCCUCGGGUCCCUAAUUCGGGUUCGUCAAGAAGGGAGAAGCAAGGGAAAGAUAAUUGGUGGUGGUCCAAGGGCAGGAAAUUGAGGUGGGAACCGAUAGUUCAAGCUCAAGAAAUUGGGGUUUUGUUAUUGCAAUUGGGGAUUGUGAUGUUUGUUAUGAGAUUACUAAGACCCGGUUUGCCAUUACCCGGGUCGGAUCCUAGAGCUCCGACAAUGUUUGUAACUGUUCCAUAUAGUGAGUUUUUGAGUAAGAUAAAUAGUAAUCAGGUGCAGAAAGUUGAGGUUGAUGGUGUACAUAUAAUGUUCAAAUUGAAGAGUGAAGUGAGUAGUAGUGUAAUAGAGACUGAGGUUGUGAAUGUGAAUGAAAAUGGAAAUAGUAAGUUGCAAGAUUCUGAGGCAGUGAUAAGGAGUGUAACUCCUACAAAGAAAAUUGUGUAUACUACCACGAGGCCGAGUGAUAUAAAGACCCCUUAUGAGAAAAUGCUUGAGAAUGAUGUUGAGUUUGGUUCUCCCGAUAAACGGUCUGGUGGAUUCAUGAACUCUGCACUGAUAGCAUUAUUUUAUAUUGCUGUACUAGCGGGGCUUCUUCAUCGCUUCCCAGUGAAUUUUUCUCAGAGCACAGCUGGCCAACUCAGAAAUCGCAAGUCAGGGGGUUCAGGUGGCACAAAAGUGUCUGAACUAGGGGAAACUAUCACAUUUGCUGAUGUUGCAGGCGUUGACGAGGCUAAGGAGGAGCUAGAAGAAAUUGUGGAAUUUCUUAGAAAUCCAGAUAAGUAUGUACGGCUUGGUGCACGUCCUCCUCGUGGUGUUCUACUGGUUGGUCUCCCCGGGACAGGAAAGACACUUCUAGCAAAGGCUGUUGCUGGGGAAGCUGAGGUUCCUUUUAUCAGUUGUUCUGCAAGUGAGUUUGUAGAAUUGUAUGUAGGAAUGGGAGCAUCACGCGUCCGUGACCUGUUUGCACGGGCAAAGAAGGAGGCACCUUCAAUAAUUUUUAUCGAUGAGAUAGAUGCUGUG